This 305-nucleotide ribosomal RNA is filed under the name uncultured bacterium. RNAcentral describes it as "bacterial SSU rRNA". It matches the Rfam family "Bacterial small subunit ribosomal RNA", at positions 333 to 660 of the family's 1533-position model. The record is from RNAcentral.
UUAGCCUACGGGGCGCAGCAGUGGGGAAUAUUGCACAAUGGGGGGAACCCUGAUGCAGCGACGCCGCGUGGGUGAAGGAGUACUUCGGUACGUAAAGCCCUAUCAGCAGUGAAUUGACGGUACCUGCAAAGGAAGCACCGGCUAACUCCGUGCCAGCAGCCGCGGUAAUACGGAGGGUGCGAGCGUUAAUCGGAAUUACUGGGCGUAAAGCGCUCGUAGGCGGUAUGUCAAGUCAAGGGUGAAAUCCCCGCGCUCAACGUGGGAACUGCCUUUGAAACUGGCAAACUGGAGUGUGUGAGCGGAUA